This is a long non-coding RNA of Bos taurus (domestic cattle), 615 nucleotides long. NCBI's taxonomy places the organism in Eukaryota, Metazoa, Chordata, Mammalia, Artiodactyla, Bovidae. The record is from Ensembl.
AGUAGAGGAACCUUCCAUUUUCAUUUAGACAAUCAUUUCUUGCCUCUACUCUUUAAAAAAAGAGCUAACAUCAUUCCUCUCAGUGUCUUGAGCCCAUAAACCGGAAGACCUGAUAGCUGUGAGCUUCAGAAUUUCUAUCUGGUCUCUGAUACCCCCCACCUUAAGUCUCCUCCUCAUCCUCUCUCUCCUCGUGCUUGGCUUCCAUGAAGAGCAGUUGCAGGGAAGGAAAAGGAGCGGGGCUUGCCUCCUUUCGUGGUCUUGAUGACACCGCACCUGGGAUUCAUUCUGGACAACCUACACAGGGAGUCACAUGUGUUCAGAGUGUAUUAAGAAGAACAGUUAACUUUCAGCUCAGGAACUCAGACAUCAGGAUCAUUGAUGUAGCGUUGAAGGCUGGAUUUUUCUACAGUGACCGUGGUUACAGGCAGGCUACUCUCUUUUCUUGUUUUCUGCAGGAAGGUUCAAGCUGAUCAGGCAGCCCCCUGCUCUGAAACCUUUACAAGACAGGAACAGCGAUCCAUCUCAGUCAUUUCUCCAGAUCAGGAACCAACCUCAGCCCAGUUCUGAGGGAAGAGACCUGAACCCCAGCUGUUCCUGCUUUGGGCACAUCUAGGU